GAUGAACGCUGGCGGCGUGCCUAAUACAUGCAAGUCGAACGAAACUUCUUUAUCACCGAGUGCUUGCACUCACCGAUACAGAGUUGAGUGGCGAACGGGUGAGUAACACGUGGGCAACCUGCCCAAAAGAGGGGGAUAACACUUGGAAACAGGUGCUAAUACCGCAUAACCAUAGUUACCGCAUGGUAACUGUGUAAAAGGUGGCUAUACUACCGCUUUUGGAUGGGCCCGCGGCGCAUUAGCUAGUUGGUAGGGUAAAGGCUUACCAAGGCAAUGAUGCGUAGCCGAAUUGAGAGGUUGAUCGGCCACAUUGGGACUGAGACACGGCCCAAACUCCUACGGGAGGCAGCAGUAGGGAAUCUUCCACAAUGGGCGAAAGCCUGAUGGAGCAACGCCGCGUGGGUGAAGAAGGUCUUCGGAUCGUAAAACCCUGUUGUUAGAGAAGAAAGUGCGUGAGAGUAACUGUUCACGUUUCGACGGUAUCUAACCAGAAAGCCACGGCUAACUACGUG
This 512-nucleotide ribosomal RNA is filed under the name uncultured bacterium. RNAcentral describes it as "partial 16S ribosomal RNA". It matches the Rfam family "Bacterial small subunit ribosomal RNA", at positions 28 to 507 of the family's 1533-position model. The record is from RNAcentral.